This 1345-nucleotide long non-coding RNA is filed under the name Homo sapiens (human). RNAcentral's name for it is "HSALNT0192349". Lineage: Eukaryota; Metazoa; Chordata; Mammalia; Primates; Hominidae. The record is from RNAcentral.
GAAUGGCAUUUAUAUAUGACAAUAAAAAUUGAUGUCUUUCCCUGAAGGGGUGAAUAAGUUAAAUGAACAACUGUUUCUAAGGAAUAUCAAAUUCACACCUCCUAUUAAGUGUCUGGAUAAAUAAGGAAAAUAGAAUCUACGACAGCUGAUAUCGGGCAGUUCGUCUGUAUGAAGUGACUAUUAAAAUGUGUAUUCAAUAUUUUAAGGCCAGAAGAAACAAUAUUCUAAGAAUAAAUACGAAUUAAAGCUACCAAAUCACUACCCAUUUCCUUAAAUACUCAUUAAUGUUUUCAGGCACAGAGUAGAAGUGGUGAUAUCCCCCUGCAUUGUAUAGAGAGAAGCAAACAUUCAUGAUUUAGAUAUCCACUACACAAAUUCAAAAAUGUGAUUUUUAAGGGCUAUAACAAAAAUAGGAAACAUAUUUUAUUAACAAUAAAAAAUUAAAUUCCUGUUUUCAACUGUAUCACUUGUUAUUAGUUUUUUCUUCUUCUUCUCAUUGUUAAUUACUCUAUUACUCUUUAGUUUUGAGCUUUCAUCCCCAACCCCAUUCCCAGACACUGAUUAAUUUGCUUUUUGUGAAUAUAUAUUAGUUUGCAUUUGGUGGAAUUCUAUAUUAAUGGAAUUAUGUAACACGUACUCUUUUCUUCUUUCAGCUUCUUUCACUCAGCAUAAUUACUUUGAGAUUGAUCCAUGUUGCAGCAUAUGUCAACAAUUCCUUGCUUUUUAUUGUAACAUACCACUGAAUGGAUAUACCACAGUUUAUUCUUUCAAGUUUUUUUGGAAUAGCUGGAUUAUAUGAUAGUUGUAUGGUUAAUUCUUUAUAAAAACUGCUUAACUGGGCCAUGCAUGGUGGCUUACACCUGUAAUCCCAGUAUUUUGGGAGGCCAAAAUGGGUGGAUCACAUUGAGGUUGGGAGUUUGAGACCAGCCUGACCAAUGCGGAGAAACCCCGUUUCUACUAAAUAUACAAAAUUAGCUGGCGUGGUGGUGCAUGCCUGCAAUCCCAGCUACUUGGGAGGCUGAGGCAGGAGAAUCACUUGAACCUGGGAGGCGAAGGUUGUGGUGAGCCGAGGUUGUGCCACUGCACUCCAGACUGGGCAACAAGAGUAAAACUCCAUCUAAAAACAAACAAACAAAUAAACAAACAAACAAACAAAAACUGCUCAACUGUUUCCAAGUGGUUGUAACUUUAGGAAACUAGAAUCUGAUGAUAGGAAUAUACAAUCAUCAGAUUUCUGGUUUUCUAUAUCCUUGUUGACACAUGGUAUGCUCAGUCUUUAAAUUUUAGUCACUCUAAUAGUGUGCUUUUGAAAAGAAUGUGUCUUCUGCUCUUGGUGACAUUUCUA